GGGGGGAGAGUGUGUAGCUUGGGCAAUCCCAUUGUUGUGAGCCAUGGGGAAAGAAUAGUUCCCUUUAGCUACGUUUUCAGGGAAUCACUAAAUGGAGAUAUGAAUGGAGAGGAGAGAACAGACUUUCUGGAGAGAUGCCAUUGUGGUAAUGUCAGAACUUCCUUUCAGACUCAGAUAAAUCUUUCUUGUUCUCAUCCUUAUUUUUAGUUGUACGGAAGACAGGAGGCCGAUUUCUGUGAGAGGAUGUUGUGUGAUGCAGACCUCCCUGCCAGCCCCCCGACCCAGGAGAGAUGCACGGCUGUCUCUGUGGGUCCCUCGUUCUUGUUUUUUUUUUUUUUUUUUUUUUUAACUCUAGCGAUUCCUCAUCAGGGCACUGACUGCGGAUGGUGGGGAGGCGGUAUUUUUAUUUUACUGCUGAGAGGAGUAGAGGUUUUCUCUUGGGAACUCUUCUGAGAGAAGAACGAGUUUCUGACAAACACUUUCUGAAAGUUACUCUAUGGCCAGAGUGGAAUAGAUCCGAGGAUGGUGGUCAUUUCUGAGAAAAGAGGCUGGUUUAAGAGACUGGCUCUGUGGCUCUCUGCCUAUGGCCGCUGAGCCUCUCAGCUUAGAGACGUCCCAGCUCUGGCUGUCCUGGGGACCACUCAGACUUGCUGUCAUUGGCAUAAGGAAACAGAGUUUGUCAGUUCUCUAGGCUAAGGGUUGCCAAAGUACGUGGCCUCUGUGUUAAAAAUAGGGAGUCAAAAUGGGAAUUUUUCUGUUUUUGAAGGGAAUCUAUCUAAGGAAAAAAACAGAUUUUAACUUGAUUUGAAUUGUCUUCCCGGGGUCUCAGUUUAUCUAACCGGAAGAAUGGGAGCAGAGGUGCUUACUUAUCCGUAGGAAUGUUAUGAGACUUACGAUGCUUAUGCAAUGGCUUUCCGAUAUGAAUGGCCCCCAAAAUGCAUCACAUUAGUUGGAGCAAGUUUUCCAGAGUACCUGGCCCCUCCGAUGAAAGUGACCUUUUGGAAAUGGCAGGUUGUGAACACUGUAAAAAGGAGAAAUGGCUUCACCUGCUCUCCAGAGAAGUAUUUGAGGAAUAUAGGUCCACUCUUUAAGCAUGGGAAGAGAGUCAAGAGUGCCCUGACCUGGAGCCGUCCUGAAAAACCACAGGCCAGAACCCCAUGGUGAAAUUCACCAAGCUAACCACUGAGGUCAGUUCAGUCUGGAAAUAAAUAAAGCACCAUCCAUUCAUCUGUCUGGUAACUCAGGCUCCUGUGUGACUGAAGUAAGUGCUGGGGCUCAGGAACCACGGCUCCCAUAAAGAGCUUCUACGUUCUCGAGUCGGCAGUCUCGGGAUGCCAGUCUGUGUUUCUUCGGCCUGCUCUCAUCUCUGGCCACAGAGCUCUUUGGAGUUUGAGGGGCCAUCAGCCGACACACACACCUGCUUGCCCAUUAAGUCACAGAGUGCGGAGGACGCAGCAGGUCCAGAAGGGGUUUCUCUGGGGGCUUUUGGGGGAUUGAUGUGAUUUGAAUGUGUGCCAUCCGGCCACCGUCGCGGUUCUUAUUGGCUGGAGGAUGAGUCUGGAAAUGUCACAGGAAGAUUUCUCUCUCAGCCCGGAUUGUCCCUCAACAAAUUACGCAGCAGGCCACCAGAUAAUGGGUUGUUUGGAAAACAGUGCCCAGUCUCAGUGGCUUUUUGUUUUGGAACGAACCCGGUGGGCUUCUUGAAGCAAAGGAGCAUGUGGGAAUGGAAGCCAUCAUGGGUUGAGAGAUGGUUUUGAUUUGGGGCUUGGCUGUGUCUUCCUCCUGGUGCUUGUCAGUGUCCUGUGGGCACUCAUCAGACAGGUGGCUGGAGAGACCUGCCUCGGGAGUUAGGGCUCCUGAAGAAAUCUGAGGUUUGACAUCUUGGACCUCUCCUAUCCUCAGCGAGGAUUAAUUUCAGAGGAGAUAUUUCAUGAAAAAAGGAUUUCCACCCCCCCCCCCAACUCUCUCUUUUUUUUUUUUAACUGUUUUUUUAAAUAAAUUUAUGUAUUUAUUUUAUUUUUGGCCGCGUUGGGUCUUCAUUGCUGUGCACGAGCUUUCCCCAGUUGCGGCGAGCGGGGGCCCCUCUUCGCCGCGGUGCGCGGGCCUCUCACCGCGGUGGCCUCUCUCGCUGCAGAGCAUGGGCUCCAGGCACACGGGCUUCAGUAGUUGUGGCACGCAGGCUCAGCAGUCGUGACUCGCGGGCUCCAGAGCGCAGGCUCAGUAGCUGCGGCACACGGGCCUGGUUGCUCCGCGACACGUGGGAUCUUCCCAGACCAGGCCUCGAACCCGCGUCCCCUGAAUUGGCAGGCGGAGUCCCGACCACUGCACCACCAGGGAAGUUCCCCCCCACCCAAUCUCUUUUGGUGUCCCAGGAAAAUAUAUUUUGUUGAUUUGAAGUUGCCAUCAACUGUAAGGUGCUUGUUGAUUUAAUAUCAGCUUUUUAGGGCUGGGAGAAGUAGGAGGGUGGGUACCAUGUUCUUACACAUACCGAUUAUAAGAUACAUUGCUAAUUCAGAAACAUUAAAAUGUGAAAACAUAUUUUGUAUAACAGUACAACAGAGGUAAAACAUUCUUUUUGGUGGCCCAACAGCAAAAAGUCCCACACGUAUUUGCUCUAAAAUCUUUUUCCAAGGGGAUUCCCAGGUCGAUAUCACAUUUCUUAAGAUAAUGAAGGAUUUUUAUUUUUCACUGGUUGUUUUAUACAUGUGUACAUCUAAGUAAGAAGAGAGUUCCUGAUGGUUUGGGUUUCAGACAAAGCCCCUGUCAUCUUUAAACAGCUCUGGAUUUUCUGAGCUAUUAUUAGCCUGGAGAGUCUAGAUAAUUGCAAUCCACACAGAAAUCUAAAAAUAAAGUGUUUAUUCAUUAUCUCUGAAGAUUUUUUUUUAGCACAUAGCAUUUUUCAGAAGGGUUUACAAGUGCUUCGAUUAAAGGAUGGAUGACUCUUUCCCUAGCCCACCCUCCCAGUGGAAGGUUGAAGGAAAAGCCGAACAGCCAAAAGGCAGAAAUCAGGAGAGAGGAGAAAGUCCAGCAAAGGUCUUAUUAAUCUGUCUCAGAAUGAUUGAGAAUUGGGUGAAAAUCUAAUUCUUCUAAUGCAAUCGGUAAUCUUUAUCUUGCUGGCAUUUAUCUGUGCUAAGGUAAAUGUUGAUAGCAUUGGUGGGUAUGUAAUCAAUGACAUACUCUCAUCAUUUAUUUUUUUAAAGUAGGGACACAAUAGUAUCGAUCACCCCAUACAUUCCAUGCUAAGUAGUUGCAUUAAUCUGACCUAAUGAGUGUGUGUUCAAGCAGUUGUCCUGCAGCCGUCACCUGCUUUCAUCCAUGGUCCUGCUUGCUAAAUAUGCCUUUUCUUCAUCCAUAAUCUCGACUUGGUUCUUGUGAACCCAAGGUCAACACACUUUUUCUGCAAAGGACCAAAUAGUAAAUAUGUUAGGCUUUGUAGACUGUCCUGUCUCUGAUGCACCUCCUCAGCUCAGCCGUUGAAGGAGGUGCAGUCACGUGGGCAUGGCUGGAUUCCAGUUCGACUUCGUGUGCUUAAAUCGUGGGUGCGUGGGAUUUGGACCACAUGCUGUAUCUGCUGACCCCACUGUGGUCCAAGGUUGGAGAAAGAAACCAUAUUCACCACUGUGACUUGUUGAGGGCCAACCAUGUGGAAGGCAUGGCUCAAGUCCAUGGUGGCGAGCUGGUCAACUUUCCUGCUCUUCCGGAGUCAACGUUCUCAUGGAGAAUAGGGAAACAAAAAAGCAAAUAAGUUAACAAAAUAAUUUCAGUUCUAUGUAGAAAAGAGGUCAUCUGAUGAAGAAUAACUUACGUUUGGGCGGGUUUGAUUAUGAACCCAUGUGUUUGAGACCCAGACCAUCAUUUUCUAAUGAAUUUUGCAUGAUUCCCUUCAGCCUCACUUUCCUUAUUUGUAAAUUAAUAGUGAUACCUAUUGGGUCACAUUGAAGAAUGAAUAAGAUUUAUGAAGGGUCUUUUGUGCAGCAGUAAAGCCCCAUUACACGUUCACUACACCUUAUUGUCAAUAUUGUUUUUGAUGUCGUUUUAUCACCCGUAUCCUUAUCAUCCCUCACAUUUGCUUGUAAGUGAAGAAACUCUUCAUGACAAACGUAACAAAAUGCAGCACCGAAGAGACAGGGUGGACUGCGGUUCUUUGCCUUUUGUAUCCACUUAAGAGAGAACUUCUCUCGGUCCAUGGGCAAGUUGCAGCUGCUAUCUUCCUGUUGAGCUGACGUGAGAAGCCAGUGAUUCAUAUCCACACAUUACCCUUACUGGAAUAUCUGUCAUUGUUAACAACCAACCCUAUGGACUCGUUAACACUUGAAAAAGCACAGGGAGAGUUGGUCUAGACCCUCAGAAAAAGAGGGUGAGCAAACUUAGGAAUUGUUCUUGCCUGUCAGAAGCUCCGUAAACAUCCAUUGACAAAUGUGAUGAGUGAAAAACAGAUAACUAAGCCUUUUCUGGCUCAGUCCUCUCUGAUUCAGAAUGACCAUCUGAAAUAUGUACUCUCCGCUUACCGAAGUCUGAUUUCAAGGAAAGUUCAGAGUUUUAGAAAAUGCAUAACUACAAAGUGGAAACAGCGAGAAGAAAACACAAUACCAAACGCCUUUGCUGAGCCUUUAUGAGCCAGGGACUCUGUCAGGUACAUUGGAUUCAACUUCAUCCUAAGCCCCACAGUAAACUGCCACAAACUUUGAAGACAGUAAAAUGUUCAUUUUCCGAAGGAGGAAAUGGAGACUCAGAGAAUCAAAGCAUCUUCCUCAAGGUCAUCGGGCUGGUGAGUGGCAGAAGCAGAAUUCGAGCCCAGGUCAGUCUGACCCAAGGCCGACACUUGAUUUACCAGACAGUGAUCUUUAAAUUUUUUUGAUUGCUUGCAUCCUCCAAGAGAAAAACAAACCAUACAAAAUAAAACAAAUAUUUUUUUAAAAUACAUAUUCCCCCAUUAUAUACGUGGGUGCAUACAUAACCUAUAUUUGCGUGUCAUCCAUAAUAUAUGCAUAUUUCUUUCUUUCUUUAAAAAUUUAUUUAUUUGUUUGUUUGUUUAGGCUGCCCCGGGUCUUAGUUGCUGCAUGCGGGAAUCUUUAAUUGCAGCAUGCAAACUCUUAGUUGCAGCAUGCAUGGAACAUCUUAGUUCCCCAACCAGGGAACGAACCCGGGCCCCCUGCCCUGGGAGAGCGGAGUCUUACCCACUGGACCACCCUAUGCCUAUUUAUUGACAAGUCAAAUCUCUGUACCAUUAUACUAAUACAUAUCGAGCAAAUUAUCAAACGUUUAC
RNAcentral lists this long non-coding RNA (5266 nucleotides) under Phocoena sinus (vaquita). RNAcentral's name for it is "lncRNA (ENSPSNG00000003255.1)". The record is from RNAcentral. Lineage: Eukaryota; Metazoa; Chordata; Mammalia; Artiodactyla; Phocoenidae.